Molecule: long non-coding RNA, 171 nt
Organism: Suricata suricatta (meerkat)
Lineage: Eukaryota; Metazoa; Chordata; Mammalia; Carnivora; Herpestidae
Exons: 3
Source: RefSeq, a predicted model, not a curated record
CUGUACUAGCGACUUGAAUCCUGCCAAGAAUUCCGGGCCAGUGAUCAUUCACGCAAGCAAGUGCGAAAAAUAUGCUGAGACCAAGUACCCCCAUGAGGCUGCGUAUGAUGCUUUCCUCUGUGGCUCAGUUCUUUUGAAAGUGGCACAUCUGCUCCUGUGGAGAGGACACGG